This 7399-nucleotide long non-coding RNA is filed under the name Musa acuminata (dwarf banana). RNAcentral's name for it is "long non-coding RNA (MACU_LNC002514)". Lineage: Eukaryota; Viridiplantae; Streptophyta; Magnoliopsida; Zingiberales; Musaceae. The record is from RNAcentral.
CGGUGGGGGCAAGGCAAGAUGAGCCGUGCUGCAGAUGCGCGUGUCCUCUCAUUUACCCACCUACUUGGUGCAUUUGCGGCGGCAUAUGGCAAGGCUCCUGCCCUUCCGCCUGCAACAACUGCCAGUGUGUCCUCAACGAGUGCACUUGCCUCGAUCUUAUGGACCCCAAGGUCUGCGAGGCCAACUCCUGUCCCUGGCCUGUUGCAGCCCCCAAAGUAGAGCCGGCGCAGCAGUGGGCUAUCGAAGAAACCGGUGGGAAAUUAGCGAUGAUGGUGUGAUCCAAUUGUGUUUGUGAUCGCCUGUCGUCUUCUCUCGCUCCGUCCUAUCCAUCUAUCCAUCCAUCUACUUAUAAUCUAUGUCGUGUACCGUCGUGUGGUGUUGCUUUGCUUCAGUAAUAAAAAUAAAAUGCUUCUGCUUUUAUCGCGACGGAUGCAUCGUUGCACUGCUAAUUGUGUACCUAAUUUUGGCAUGAGAGUUUGGAAAAGUUCAUCUCGGAAAAUUGCUCGACAGGUGACUUCCGGGAGAAAGGAGAAAAUAUAGGAGACAAUAGUAGUGUAACAAAUCUUUUUUAGUUCAUCACUAAACUAAUAUAAUAUAUAGGAGAUAUAAUAUAGAUGGCAUAAGUGUUAAUAGAAAUUGAUUUGUGAUAUAAGCUAAUAGAUAAUUUAAACAUCCAUUAAAAGUCCGAUUCCAUGCAAUCUAAUAAUUCAUUGUACUUGUAAUGAGUCAAUUACGGGGUAAUAGAUGGUUGUAAUUGACUGAAGUCACUGAACAUUAAAGGGGUAAAAGCCAUCCACGUACUUUCUUUUCAUUGUCUACUAACAUGAUCUGUCGGAAAUUUUCAAUCAGAUGUUCUUUCAACAAAACAUAUCUCCGGAGGAACACUCCACACUAUGAAGAGAUGAUAUAUCGACCGCUAAUCUCCAUGCCUUCUCUUGCCUUUCUUUACUCCAAACCUCCAUAUUGCUUUAAUUAUGUUGUUUGUUCUGCCCAUUACUGUGAAGCAAAAUAAAUAAAUAAAUAUAUAUAUAUGUGUUAUUUAAAAAAUUAUUAAUAUAUAGGGAUCGAUCAACAACUAAAAUGUUGAUCGCAAUGAAGUCCAAAUCACAUCAAAGUUGCCUUCUGAUUGAAAUGUUGCAACAAUUAUGUGGAUCAAUAUUCCACAAGCAUCGUACAUGAAAACGACGUGUGUGGUAGCAUUAUUGAUGUGAGUAGGUGUCAUUGCUGAUUGGACAUCGUAGAAAACGUGCUCCAUAUCAUCCUUCUUCUUUGGAAGAUAAGGAUGAAUGGAUGGCAAAUAUAGAACGCAAGAAACGCUUCUCUUAGUAGGAAUGGCACAUUGAAUUAAAUUAGAGUGUACAGUGGAUAAAAUUUUACUCGGAUUAUCACUUAUGUUGGAUAGAUAAAUUUACACUUGAUUUGCGAUAUAAGAGUUUCCUACUGGAAGCUCACUCAGCAAGUACGUCUGCCUUUGAAUAAAUGGCAUGAUAUGUUUUAGAUAUGUCAAUAUCGAAACUCUCGUCGGUGGGUAUAUAGUAACUUUAUGAUUCUCUUUGUACUCACCGGAGUUUAUCUCUAAGAUAAUAUCAUGAUACUAAUAUAAUAAAAAUUAGAGGGACAUAUAUAAAGGUAGAAGCCCAACUUAACUUUUCUUUUAUCCUUCUUAUUAUGUCCAAAAGACUCUUCCUACAAAGGAUCAUUAUCUAACUAGAGUAUCAAAAGAGAGUCGCAGGGAUCCUUUGGUGAUCCUCUUUUGUUUUGUAAUUCCCUCUUCAGAUAAUUAGAUCUUUUGGAUCUUGUUUUGCUCCACAAUGUUCUAUCGUCCAAAUAUAAUAAAAAUUAGAGGGACAUGGAUAAGAGUAGAUAACUUGGUAGGGUUGGGUUGGUUGAAUUUGCUGGGGUGAGAUAGAUAAAGUGAGUUCUUCAGUAGCAACAUUGUUAUUUAUAGGAGUUGAAUCAUCAUAGGCUUGUAAGUCAAAAGUGGUAAAUUUGUAAUGAUAAUAAUAAGACUUACGAUUUGGUUGCACAGUUGAUCAAGGAAAUGUGUUCAUGGAAAAUAACAUUCGACUUGUGAAUAUUUAUUUAGUCUCUAAAUUAUAGACUUUAUAAGCCUUUUGAUUGAAGGGAUAUCCAAUAAAAAUGUAUUUUUGAGUACGUAUAUUUUUGGGUUGAAUGUUUAUAGAAAUACAUAAACAAUCAAAUACACGUAGAAGGUCAUAAAUAAAUAUAUUAUCGAUUAUAAAUAACUUUAAAUGGUAUCUUUCUUGAACGGAGGGAUAUGGUUAGAAGACUAAUAAGUUUAGUUGUUGUUAGCACACUGUAAAAAAACUUCGUACAGGAUUGAACUUACUUUCAUUAUCUACUAGAAUUCAUCUUACCUUUCGACGAAAUUGAUUUUCAACAAAAAUAUAAAAAGAUUUUAAAAGUGUUUGUGUUUCAUAUUUAAAGUGGAUGAGAUAUAUCCAUGUAUUCCUAGAACAAUCAUCUACAAUAGCUAGAAAAUAAUGAUGGGAGACCAAGAUGUCUAUGCCAUAGAUCAUGUUGUGAAGAUAUAUUAUUGACUUUUGUGAUGGGUAGUAUUGUUAGAGGUGAUGUAUAUGUAGAAAAGAAGUAGAGACCAAUUAUCUUCUUCAUUGCCAAAUCUUGUAAGAGGCAAAAAUCAGAAGGAAAAAAAAGUGAUUGAGCAAUUCAAAAAUUUAGUUAUCAUGCUGAUUGAUAAUAGAUUAACAUAAAAUGAAGACACGCAAACAAUAUCUAAAAGAAUAAUUUCAUGAUUAAGUUUGGUGGAACCAAUAGAAGUUAUUUGUGUUUUUCUUCCAUCAGGUAGUCCAAUAACAGAAUGUGAAAAGAUAUUUGUUUUACGUAAUAGACGAGGAAAUAACGCAAUAUGAUCAUCUGUAGCACCACUACGAGAUAAGAAAUAAAAAAAAAAAUAGAAUAACCUGUAACAUUUGCCUAUGGCAAAGUGUUACCAUUGCUUAAGAAGGCCAAAAGUUGAUAUUAUUCAUGCGCAAAAAUUGGAGUAUAUGACCAGUUAUUGACAGAUGCCUUUAUUCUAUUUCCUGAUUUCUCAUUUUUCUUGUAAACUUUAUAUUCAAGAGGGAAGCCAUGUAAAUGAUAGCAUUUGUCAGCGGUCCGAUUGUUCCCAUUACAAUGGCCACAAUAAAACUUUCCUUUCGUAUUAUUUGAUGAGUUGAUAACAGGAUUGCUUUUUCGAGCACUUGCCAUCAUGACCUCUUUAAAAACAAUCAAUUCUAAUUGUUUUUCUUCUGAAUUAUUGAGAAUUUUGUAAGCAUAAAAUCUGUGAUAUUAUAUAUAUAUAUAUAUAUAUAUAUAUAUAUAUAUAUAUAUAUAUAUAAUACGAAAAAAAUUUUAUGUCAUGAUUGAAAUCAAAUAACAUUAGAUUAUAUUUACGAUAUAUAUCUUUUGAUGUCAUCUGAAAAAGAUAUUUGUGUGAUCUGCAAAGAUAUUGUCCUCCGACUUCGACUAUCACAAUGACGUCAAUCUACAAGAAAUCAUAAUCUCUUAAUUGCAUUCUCUAUGACAUAUAUCAUAGAGUCCCUAGAGGUAUAUCUUUUUAUAAGCGAGAGUAAACGGUUUAAGAUAGGUUAUUAUGAGAUUUCCUCUUAUCAUCAUGGACGUCCCUUAAAUAAUUUUACUAUAAUAUAGAUUUUUUUUUAUUGAUCAAUAUCUAUCAUCAAAAUCAAAUUAAUUAUAUUAUAUAUUUUAUCCAAUUAUGAACGAUCACAUAAUCUAACAAAUUUAACCAUAAAUAGUAGAAUAUGACUCAUUUAAACCCAUGAGAAAUUGCAUUACCUUACUCCUUUGCUCAUGUUCAUCAACUUUCUUGAUUGCACCACAUGUUAUGUGGAAAGUUCAUCCCAUAACCCCUUUAAUUUGGUAAAAUAUACAGCGAGCGAUAGACGUUGACCCAUGUAGUAGUGAAUUUAGAAUAUUCUAGGAGUAUUAUUUUGUGAAAAUCUUUCUUUCAGAUCAGUUAAAACAUCAAUAGCAGAAUCGACAUAUAUGUCACUAUUAGCAAGAUUAGAAUCCACAGAGUUGAAGAUCCAUGAUAAUACUAUAUUAUUGCAUUCUUUUCACAUGGAAAAAUUUGUGUCGGUUGUUGACGAUGUCUUGAUCGAUCCAACAACGAAACCAAUCUUGUUUUUAGCUCUAAGAACUAUGCUCAUUGAACGACUCCAAGUGCUACAGUUAUCACCAUUCGAUGGCUUACUAAACAAGACAAUCCCUGGAUGAUCCGAGUGGUGAAGAAGAAAGGCGACCAAAAGAUUCACAAAAGAUGAAUAUAUCAUGCUAUAAAAUAUCUUCCCAAGAUGCACACCUUUCGUGUCUGCUACGAUCAUUGCGACUUCCACCUCCACAAGUGUUAAUGCAACACUCGUGGCUUCAUCACAUACCGCGCCUCAAUAGGAUUGACUUCAAAUAGGUAGACAAGUAGGCUCUUUGGAGAUCGUCUUUGUGGCAUAGCGAUAAUACAAAAGUAGUAGUGGAAGCUAAACUAUUUUGGUGGUUUUGAUACCAUAUAUAAAAAAAAUACUUGGGAGAAAUAUAAAAUUUCAUUGAACCCACUUUACGUUCCCAGAGUUUAUCUCCUCGAAGAUAAUGCCAUGAUAUCAAUAUAAUAGAAAUUAGAGGGACAUAGAUAAUGUUAGAAGCCUAACUUUGUUUUUUUUUAUCCUUAUUAUGUACAAUCGGACAUUAUCUGACGUGGGUAUUAGAAGAGAGUCGCAUGGAUCCCUUGGUGACGCUCUUUUAUUUUACAAUUUCCUCUUCGGAUGAGUAGAUCGAUUGUAUUGGAGACCCUUCAAUCUUGUUACGCUUAGUAAUAUUUUAUCGUCUUAUAAUAAUUGUUGUGGUUCUUUAUAUUGUGGCCCAAGAUCCAACAUAGUUUGAUUCGGUCCUGAUCGUGCGAGGGCAUCCACAUAGUCGCUUUGAAGGAUGACUGAAGAGGGAACGGAGAACCGAGGCUAGUAUCUCCUGGUCGACUCGAAAUGGAGCUGAGGUUAUCUCUGAUGUCGAAUUCCUACACAAUAGGUCGAUGUCAGGAAGGGAGAUUCCCGACUCGACCCCUCCAAAGCUUAGGUCAGUUUUUUAAUAAUAGUGAUUCAUAUCCCUAACGUAUACUUAGGGGUGACAUUUUAUACCUCUCGUUGAAGGUUAAUCGUAUGCAGGCUGUUAAUGACCAUCGACAUUCCAUGUGGUCUGUUCGUCCACUCCAAAUGGCAUGGGCUGACUGCUUUGGUUUCACCGCAGCGUGAGGCUGUCUUGCUUGAUUUUGAGUACUACUUCGUAUGGUCCCAUUUCGAGAUGCAAUCAGUAGUGCAACUUUUAGAUGCAUGCAUUAUGUCGAUGAGAUGGUGUCAUGUUGAUUCUACGAUGGCUAUCGAUUAUCAUUGUGGGCAGACACCAAAAUAUCCCAUAUCAAUAAUGAUAUAAGUUAUUGCUAUACAGACAAAUGAAUCUAGUCAGCCCUUUCCAUUUCUUCCUCAAUCUAGACAAAUUGUCAUUAUAUAUUAGAUAAAACCACUCACUUGCUGUAUAAGCCCGAAUUUUUUAAAAGCAGAAGUUGCUUAGUACAGAAUAAUUUAAAGCAACAAAAAAAAUCAUGGCUUGAUAUUUGAUAUUGUAGCUAUUUUUAAAGAAGGAACUCAUUAAUCUAUUCUGUUAGAUUAUGUGGUACAAUAACUUAUGAUAAAAUAAAUUAAAAUUUUAAUUAAAUUCGCCGCACAUUGUUCACGUUGCCAUCCCAACGAUUGCAACUAUGGGAUUCAAUAAUUCACUUGGGACGUAUGGAUAAUCCUCGACCACGUAAAAAUAAUUAAAAAUAUUUCCAUCUGCAUCACGCGGAUGCAUUCGUAUUAUAUUGUGGGGGACAAUAAUCAAUGCACCAAAUCUGGUACUGCAACUUUUUAUCUUGUUAUCGUCGUUCCAGGUUAAGUGUAAAAUUGAGAGUGAGAGAGUAGACACACUUGAGUUCUUGAAUUCCGAAUCCAUUAUUUCUUCUUGUCAACAAAUAUGUCCCACCAUACCCAUCAUAUAUUAAAGGCUCGAGCAUCGUGGCACUAUAAAUAGGACAAGAGGAGGGCGGAGGGAAAACGCACUACAUCAUACUUGCACGGGUGCAUUGUGAUAGAAAGCUCAGCGGUAAGCAAUGGCUGGAGGAGGCAAAAAGAGGUGAAGGGUCGUCUUCUUCUAAUUGUUGAUAAGGUAUGUUUGGGUUACGCGUCACAACCAACGCCACACUACGUUAUAGUUGGGUUAGCAAGGGGAGCACCCCCACACACUAAGUCAGAAUUCGUAUCGAUGCCGGAUCAGCAAGGGGAGCAUCCCCACAUACUAAGUCAGAAUCAGUACCAAGACACUGUUCGAUAUGUCUCGUCCCAUAAGUUUGGGGCGACGCCGUCUGAUGUCGUCCCGCAUGUCCCGGGACAACGGUCGCACAGUACCGUCUCAUCCCCCGAGGAUCAAUCGACACACUAAACCCGCAUGCGACCGACUCUCGUAUAAUAAUAUAAAAAUCCUUAGCCAACAUCCAUCCAAGGAGGAGGGAAGGACACAAAGGAGAAGAGAAAAACAACUACUAACUUGCUCGUCGGAUGGGCCAAAGUCAGGAAUCCCCGACGAAGGUCACUUUUAUAGGCAAGUGGCCGCCCCCGAGCAACAAGCGUCUCGACAUGGGAAUCGUCAUCCAGUGAACGAAGGCGAGCUGCCAACCAGCCUGGGAACGAAGAGACGCUGCUCAACGCAGAUGACGCCCGGACCAAGAAACGUUGAUUAACACCCCGUCGCGAGGGCCCGGCCUACCUUAGCGUCCAACUCAGUCAGCAGAAGACUACCGACAUCGACUCGUGGACCGAGCCGUGCUGACUCACCAGUCACGGCACAUUUGUUCACCAACACUUGUGACGCUGCUCGUGACGUAGUUGGCCUUCUUCGCCACCGACUCCUCGGCAGCCCGUGUCACACCCCGUCCGCAAUCCCUCGCCAGAGGUAGGUAGAUAAAUAUGCAUGCGAACAUGUAUAUGAUUGGGCUGGAGAUCGAAGCAUCGUUAAUUCCGUCUUCAUGCUGCAGCGGCACUGAGUGCGUUGGGAGCAAGGGCAGAUGGGCCGUGCUGCAGAUGCAUCUGUCCUCUCAUUUACCCACCUACUCGGUGCAUUUGCGGCGGCGUAUGGCAAGGCUCCUGCCCUUCCGCCUGCACCAACUGCCAGUGUGUUCUCAACGAGUGCACUUGCCUCGAUCACGUGGACUACAAGGCCUGCGAGGCCGAUUCCUGUGCCUGGCUUGAUGCAGCCCGCAAAGUAGAGCCGUCGCAGCAGUGGGCGAUCGAAGAAACCGGUGGGAAAUUAGCGACGAUGGUGUGAUCCAAAUGUGUUUGUG